UCCCUUGUAGCUCAGUCAGUAAAGAAUCUGCCUGUAAUACAGGAGACCCAGGUUCGAUUCCUGGGUUGGGAA
Molecule: transfer RNA, 72 nt
Filed under: Bos taurus (domestic cattle)
Lineage: Eukaryota; Metazoa; Chordata; Mammalia; Artiodactyla; Bovidae
Also listed under: 4 other names
Rfam family: tRNA
About the family: Transfer RNA (tRNA) molecules are approximately 80 nucleotides in length. Their secondary structure includes four short double-helical elements and three loops (D, anti-codon, and T loops). Further hydrogen bonds mediate the characteristic L-shaped molecular structure. tRNAs have two regions of fundamental functional importance: the anti-codon, which is responsible for specific mRNA codon recognition, and the 3' end, to which the tRNAs corresponding amino acid is attached (by aminoacyl-tRNA synthetases). tRNAs cope with the degeneracy of the genetic code in two manners: having more than one tRNA (with a specific anti-codon) for a particular amino acid; and 'wobble' base-pairing, i.e. permitting non-standard base-pairing at the 3rd anti-codon position.
Source: Rfam by way of RNAcentral